RNAcentral lists this transfer RNA (83 nucleotides) under Chlamydiae bacterium RIFCSPHIGHO2_12_FULL_49_11. RNAcentral describes it as "tRNA-Leu". It matches the Rfam family "tRNA". From Rfam's summary of the family: Transfer RNA (tRNA) molecules are approximately 80 nucleotides in length. Their secondary structure includes four short double-helical elements and three loops (D, anti-codon, and T loops). Lineage: Bacteria; Pseudomonadati; Chlamydiota. The record is from RNAcentral.
GCGAAAGUGGCGGAACGGUAGACGCGCUACUUUGAGGGGGUAGUGGGAGUCAUCCUGUGGGGGUUCAAGUCCCCCCUUUCGCA